RNAcentral lists this ribosomal RNA (472 nucleotides) under uncultured bacterium. RNAcentral describes it as "SSU rRNA". It matches the Rfam family "Bacterial small subunit ribosomal RNA", at positions 26 to 518 of the family's 1533-position model. The record is from RNAcentral.
AGAACGAACGCUGGCGGCAUGCCUAACACAUGCAAGUCGAACGCUUGUAGCAAUACAAGAGUGGCGCACGGGUGAGUAACGCGUGGGAACCUGCCCUGGAGUGGGGGAUAACCGAGGGAAACUUCGGCUAAUACCGCAUACGACCUGAGGGUGAAAGAUUUAUCGCUCUAGGAGGGGCCCGCGUCGGAUUAGCUAGUUGGUGGGGUAACGGCCUACCAAGGCUACGAUCCGUAGCUGGUCUGAGAGGAUGGCCAGCCACACUGGGACUGAGACACGGCCCAGACUCCUACGGGAGGCAGCAGUGGGGAAUAUUGGACAAUGGGGGCAACCCUGAUCCAGCGACGCCGCGUGUGUGAAGAAGGCCUGCGGGUUGUAAAGCACUUUUAGUGGGGAUGAAAAGUUCAGGGCUAAUACCCCUGGGCAUUGACCUAACCCACAGAAAAGCACCGGCUAACUCUGCGCCAGCAGCCGC